GAUAAACGCUGGCGGCGUGCCUAAUACAUGCAAGUCGAGCGAACGGACGAGAAGCUUGCUUCUCUGAUGUUAGCGGCGGACGGGUGAGUAACACGUGGAUAACCUACCUAUAAGACUGGGAUAACUUCGGGAAACCGGAGCUAAUACCGGAUAAUAUUUUGAACCGCAUGGUUCAAAAGUGAAAGACGGUCUUGCUGUCACUUAUAGAUGGAUCCGCGCUGCAUUAGCUAGUUGGUAAGGUAACGGCUUACCAAGGCAACGAUGCAUAGCCGACCUGAGAGGGUGAUCGGCCACACUGGAACUGAGACACGGUCCAGACUCCUACGGGAGGCAGCAGUAGGGAAUCUUCCGCAAUGGGCGAAAGCCUGACGGAGCAACGCCGCGUGAGUGAUGAAGGUCUUCGGAUCGUANAACUCUGUUAUUAGGGAAGAACAUAUGUGUAAGUAACUGUGCACAUCUUGACGGUACCUAAUCAGAAAGCCACGGCUAACUACGUGCCAGCAGCCGCGGUAAUACGUAAGUGGCAAGCGUUAUCCGGAAUUAUUGGGCGUAAAGCGCGCGUAGGCGGUUUUUUAGUCUGAUGUGAAAGCCCACGGCUCAACCGUGGAGGGUCAUUGGAAACUGGAAAACUUGAGUGCAGAAGAGGAAAGUGGAAUUCCAUGUGUAGCGGUGAAAUGCGCAGAGAUAUGGAGGAACACCAGUGGCGAAGGCGACUUUCUGGUCUGUAACUGACGCUGAUGUGCGAAAGCGUGGGGAUCAAACAGGAUUAGAUACCCUGGUAGUCCACGCCGUAAACGAUGAGUGCUAAGUGUUAGGGGGUUUCCGCCCCUUAGUGCUGCAGCUAACGCAUUAAGCACUCCGCCUGGGGAGUACGACCGCAAGGUUGAAACUCAAAGGAAUUGACGGGGACCCGCACAAGCGGUGGAGCAUGUGGUUUAAUUCGAAGCAACGCGAAGAACCUUACCAAAUCUUGACAUCCUUUGACAGCUCUAGAGAUAGAGCCUUCCCCUUCGGGGGACAAAGUGACAGGUGGUGCAUGGUUGUCGUCAGCUCGUGUCGUGAGAUGUUGGGUUAAGUCCCGCAACGAGCGCAACCCUUAAGCUUAGUUGCCAUCAUUAAGUUGGGCACUCUAAGUUGACUGCCGGUGACAAACCGGAGGAAGGUGGGGAUGACGUCAAAUCAUCAUGCCCCUUAUGAUUUGGGCUACACACGUGCUACAAUGGACAAUACAAAGGGCAGCGAAACCGCGAGGUCAAGCAAAUCCCAUAAAGUUGUUCUCAGUUCGGAUUGUAGUCUGCAACUCGACUACAUGAAGCUGGAAUCGCUAGUAAUCGUAGAUCAGCAUGCUACGGUGAAUACGUUCCCGGGUCU
RNAcentral lists this ribosomal RNA (1371 nucleotides) under uncultured bacterium. RNAcentral's name for it is "bacterial SSU rRNA". It matches the Rfam family "Bacterial small subunit ribosomal RNA", at positions 28 to 1381 of the family's 1533-position model. The record is from RNAcentral.